RNAcentral lists this unclassified non-coding RNA (2933 nucleotides) under Schistocerca americana (American grasshopper). RNAcentral describes it as "nitric oxide-associated protein 1, transcript variant X3". The record is from RNAcentral. Lineage: Eukaryota; Metazoa; Arthropoda; Insecta; Orthoptera; Acrididae.
AAAACUUCAAAAUGUUUAUAAACAAAACGAUAGAAACUUGAGUGAGUGCGUUGGUUUUAUGGUUAUGUGUUUGUUUAGUGUACUAUAGUACCAGAAUGCGAACUCUGCGACUUGUGCAUGUGGGUAGACUGCGCAUACCACCCGUGUCACAUGAAUUCGGUAUACUAACAUUCGGAACCUGCCUAAGAGAUUUGGUGAUUCGAUGUUCGUCUGCAAGUACCAAAAGACUUUAUCAUUUUACACAUUCGCAACAUAAUUUAAAUUAUGAAAAAAUCAUCAGAAACGAUAAUAGAGAGAAUUUUGUUUUAGGCGAAAUUAGGUCUAAAAUUAUAUACAAUUCUGUUCUGCACCGAUUAGAAUGGGAAAAUAGAUUGGCAGGCUUCAAGAAGAAAAGAAAAACGUUGAAUCGCGGUGAGUCAUAUCACUGCAGCCCUGUCGCAUUAAAGUACGUAGAAGACAUUGCAGAUAGCGAGACGGAAGAACAGCCAGAAGCGGUGUUCAAAGAUGAAAAAGUGGACUUUCCGUACAGGACUUACAGUGAAUUUGGCAGUAGUAGUCUCCAUUCUUCUCGGAAUAAUUCUGGUGAAAAUGGUACUGGAAAAAUAAUGGUGUCUGAGUUUACUACAGAACCUGUUCCAAAAGAACAGACCAGUGAGCAUUAUAUAAAAAGCUGGAUGAAUGAUUAUGAGUGUUAUGAUGGUGAUGAUAUAGAACCACCCUGGGAACUUAACUAUGGUACACCUGAUACAAAUAUUCCUGUGAGUAAUACCCCAUGUGGGGGAUGUGGUGCUUUAUUACACUGUCGGGACACUGCAAUACCUGGCUAUCUACCAAGUGAGAUAUUUCUUCGUCUGAAUGAAAGUAACAUUAGUGGGACCCUGUGCCAACGAUGUCAUUUCAUUAGGUAUUACAACACUGUUCUUAGUGUCACAGUACCUCCUACUGAGUAUCCGAAACUUUUAUCCGAAAUCAGGAACAAACUUGCACUUGUUGUUUUGAUGGUAGAUCUCACUGAUUUUCCGUGUAGCAUUUGGCCACAAAUACUUGAUAUAAUUGGCAGAAAACGACCAGUGGUGGUUGUUGGGAAUAAGAUUGAUUUACUUCCACAGGACUGCAGUGGUUUUCUUGAUCAUGUCAAGAAAUGUAUCAUUAAAAGUCUUGAUCAGACUGGCUUGUCUGCUGCAAACAUAAAACAUGUAGAGCUGAUAAGUGCUCGCACUGGAUAUGGGAUUGAGGAACUUAUUACAAGGUUACAAAAUAUGUGGCACUACAAAGGUGAUGUAUAUCUGGUAGGUUGUACCAAUGUUGGAAAGUCUAGCCUGUUUAAUGCUCUUCUGCAAUCCGAUUUCUGCAAAGUAAAGGCAGUGGACCUUAUUGAGAGAGCUACUACAUCCCCUUGGCCUGGAACAACAAUGAAUUUGCUCAAGUUUCCUAUACUUCGCCCGUCUGGAUGGAGGCUAUAUAUGCGCACUAAGCGUCUUUUGGCUGAGAGAGAACGCAAACAAGCAGAAGAUAAACUCCGACAUUUUCAGUUGAAACGUAUGAAUGAUGUUCAGUACGCCACACUUGUAGGUCACAUUGGAAGGACAUUUCAAAAUGAAGAACAACCUGAAGUGAACGAUCCAUUUUCUGUUAGUAAAUCACUCACUAUCCAACAGUCAGGUAUAAAUCCAAAAGAUCCUGAAUUUAGUGAAAGCAGAUGGUGUUUUGAUACACCAGGAACAGUUCAACCUGACCAGAUCCUGAAUUUGCUUACUACAGAAGAACUUAUUUUGACAUUGCCAAAGAAGAUGUUGAUCCCUCGCUCAUUUUGCUUAAAACCCCAAAGAACUUUGUUUAUUGCUGGUCUAGGAAGACUAGACUAUGUUGAUGGAAACGAAUCUGUUAGGUUCACAGUAUUUGCAUCAGAUUGUCUGCCUGUCACUAUAUGCCAAACGGACAUUGCAGACACUGUAUAUUCGUCGCUGCUGGGCUCUUCACUGUUUGUUGUACCAUGUGGUGGAGACAAAAGAUUAUCACAGUGGCCACAACUUGCAACUACUCCAAAGAGCAUUUCUGUUGUGGGUAUCAGUUCAAAAGAAAGCUGCGCUGAUAUUGUGUUGUCAUCUGCUGGAUGGAUUGCUGUCACUCCUCCUAAGGAUCAUGUAUGCAAAUUGCAAGCAUGGACUCCAGAUGCAAGAGGAAUAUAUGUGCGUCAGCCUGCCUUACUGCGGUAUUCUGUUAACCUGCGUGGUGCCAGAAUACGUAAAACUCCAGCAUACAGAAUGGGGCGUGCUGUUUAUGUCAAAAAUUAAUUUUGACAUGAUGCAAACUGCUCAGUUGUCUUGUUCGAACCAACUAAAGAAAUGAUUCGGAUUGAUCAAAACAUGUUUGCCUUACAUCGUAUGGCUUAAGGCAGCACAGCAUACAGAGUGAAGCAGUUUCUGCAUGUAGGUGCUUUGUGCAGCACAAAGGAACUGUGACAUCAACAGUGCUUCAUAUUGUAUGAAGUAGUGUGUGUUUGUGUAUAUUACAUACAGUAAACUCUUGAACAUAUUUUUUAUAAUAAAAGCAUACAUUUCACAUGAAAAGAAAUGUUGAAAAUGUAUUAUUUUCAGAAGUUACAGUUAAAAACAAGCUGGGAAAUGCAAUCCUACAAAAAGAGACAUACUCUUAACGUAGUACACGAAUUUACUAGGACACACUGUUCAAAAUUAAUAUAUCACUUUGCAUCUGUCUAGUACACAAAGCUAAGAAUAUAUCUAUAUCCUACCACUGUCUCAGAUUUUGAGAAAAAUGUGUGUGACUGCAAACGGAAUGUCAGUACAAUGUAAAGACUUUACACAGCAGACAAUUUGGAAGCCUUGUGCAUUAUAUAGGCAGAUAAACAAGAAGUUCAACUUUUGAAUUUGCACUCCAAUUGUACAAAAGACUGAUAAAUGCAGAUCCUUAAA